RNAcentral lists this ribosomal RNA (1372 nucleotides) under uncultured bacterium. RNAcentral describes it as "bacterial SSU rRNA". It matches the Rfam family "Bacterial small subunit ribosomal RNA", at positions 28 to 1381 of the family's 1533-position model. The record is from RNAcentral.
GAUGAGCGCUGGCGGCGUGCCUAAUACAUGCAAGUCGAGCGAACGGACGAGAAGCUUGCUUCUCUGAUGUUAGCGGCGGACGGGUGAGUAACGCGUGGAUAACCUACCUAUAAGACUGGGAUAACUUCGGGAAACCGGAGCUAAUACCGGAUAAUAUUUUGAACCGCAUGGUUCAAAAGUGAAAGACGGUCUUGCUGUCACUUAUAGAUGGAUCCGCGCUGCAUUAGCUAGUUGGUAAGGUAACGGCUUACCAAGGCAACGAUGCAUAGCCGACCUGAGAGGGUGAUCGGCCACACUGGAACUGAGACACGGUCCAGACUCCUACGGGAGGCAGCAGUAGGGAAUCUUCCGCAAUGGGCGAAAGCCUGACGGAGCAACGCCGCGUGAGUGAUGAAGGUCUUCGGAUCGUAAAACUCUGUUAUUAGGGAAGAACAUAUGUGUAAGUAACUGUGCACAUCUUGACGGUACCUAAUCAGAAAGCCACGGCUAACUACGUGCCAGCAGCCGCGGUAAUACGUAGGUGGCAAGCGUUAUCCGGAAUUAUUGGGCGUAAAGCGCGCGUAGGCGGUUUUUUAAGUCUGAUGUGAAAGCCCACGGCUCAACCGUGGAGGGUCAUUGGAAACUGGAAAACUUGAGUGCAGAAGAGGAAAGUGGAAUUCCAUGUGUAGCGGUGAAAUGCGCAGAGAUAUGGAGGAACACCAGUGGCGAAGGCGACUUUCUGGUCUGUAACUGACGCUGAUGUGCGAAAGCGUGGGGAUCAAACAGGAUUAGAUACCCUGGUAGUCCGCGCCGUAAACGAUGAGUGCUAAGUGUUAGGGGGUUUCCGCCCCUUAGUGCUGCAGCUAACGCACUAAGCACUCCGCCUGGGGAGUACGACCGCAAGGUUGAAACUCAAAGGAAUUGACGGGGACCCGCACAAGCGGUGGAGCAUGUGGUUUAAUUCGAAGCAACGCGAAGAACCUUACCAAAUCUUGACAUCCUUUGACAACUCUAGAGAUAGAGCCUUCCCCUUCGGGGGACAAAGUGACAGGUGGUGCAUGGUUGUCGUCAGCUCGUGUCGUGAGAUGUUGGGUUAAGUCCCGCAACGAGCGCAACCCUUAAGCUUAGUUGCCAUCAUUAAGUUGGGCACUCUAAGUUGACUGCCGGUGACAAACCGGAGGAAGGUGGGGAUGACGUCAAAUCAUCAUGCCCCUUAUGAUUUGGGCUACACACGUGCUACAAUGGACAAUACAAAGGGCAGCGAAACCGCGAGGUCAAGCAAAUCCCAUAAAGUUGUUCUCAGUUCGGAUUGUAGUCUGCAACUCGACUACAUGAAGCUGGAAUCGCUAGUAAUCGUAGAUCAGCAUGCUACGGUGAAUACGUUCCCGGGUCU